This 2151-nucleotide unclassified non-coding RNA is filed under the name Homarus americanus (American lobster). RNAcentral describes it as "acanthoscurrin-2-like, transcript variant X1". The record is from RNAcentral. Lineage: Eukaryota; Metazoa; Arthropoda; Malacostraca; Decapoda; Nephropidae.
GGCGUCUAUUUAAGAGGCAGACAACCGUAGGAGGAACCAUUCUUCUCUCCGUCUCCGCUCAGGCCAAGGACGACUGCCUUUACCAUAGAACCAUAAUGAACGUAACACACUGGGCGCUGGCCCUCCUGCUGGCGCUGAUGGGGGUCCUCACCUCAGUCAGCGCUGAACCCGCCCCUGACCCCGAGCCCUUCAAGAAAAGGAAAGGAGGUCACUACUAUCGCCCAGUCAUAGUGAUGCGCAGCUACGGUGGCGGCUACGGGGGCGGACACGGCGGCGGCGGUUACGGAGGUGGAAAGGGAAAGGGCGGUGGCAUUUUCAAAGGUGGAUUUGGCGGUGGACUCUUCAAGGGUGGAAAGGGUAAAGGCGGAGGCGGCUACGGAGGUGGAAAGGGAAAGGGCGGUGGUGGAUAUGGUGGUGGAAAGGGUAAAGGCAAGGGUGGCGGCUUUUUCAAAGGCUUCCGUGGACUCUUCAAAGGCGGAAAAGGUAAGGGCGGCGGAGGCUAUGGCGGCGGAAAAGGCAAAGGCGGUGGAGGCUACGGAGGCGGCGGACAUGGAGGCGGUGGCUAUGGCGGCGGCGGCUAUGGCGGUGGACAUGGAGGCGGCGGCUAUGGCGGUGGACAUGGAGGCGGCGGCUAUGGCGGUGGACAUGGUGGCGGCGGCUAUGGCGGUGGAUAUGGAGGCGGCGGCGGCUACGGGCGGUAAGGAUGCACCAUCACAACACCAUGAGGACUUCACGUGACACCUUAAGUACCAUAACCAUAUUGGGCCACUGACUACAAGCACUCCAAGGGGAACAGUCAUCCUCCUCUCCCCCACCCCCCUCUUCCUCCUCCUCUUCCUCCUCCCCAACAUGGACGUAAACACAACACUGGCUCCCACCUACUAAGAACCUGCGUCUCUUAAUUAAUCAUUCAUACGUCAAAAAAAUAUCAAAACUCUAUUUCAGCGAUCUAUUUCACAUCUACUUAUUCUUGAGAGGUUAAGAAUAUUUUCGUCAUUCUUGUUCAGAGGGAAAAUUUUACAGUAUAGUCAUUGAUAUAUAUUUUGAAUUGUAGUUUAUUUUAUUACCUGGAUAUAAUUACAAGCUUUUAAGUGUAAUUUUAUGGCCUUUAAGUUCCAUCACCUUUAAGCUUCGUUCCACAGUUUGUAAGUUCUAUUUCACCCGUUCCAUCAUCUGCAAGUUCUGUUUCACCCGUUAUAUCGCCUGCAAGUUCUGUUCCACCCGUUCCAUCAUUUGCAAGUUCCGUUCCAUCCGUUCCAUCGCCUGCAACUUCUGUUCCGCCCGUUCCAUCGCCUGCAAGUUCCGUUCCACCCGUUCCAUUACCAACAAGUUCCGUUCCAUCCGUUCCAUCACCUUUAAGUUCCGAGCCAUCCGUUCCAUCACCUGCAACUUCUGUUCCACCCGUUCCAUCACCUGCAAGUUCCGUUGAUUUGCUUUAUUUUCACUUGUUAAAGCUGGAAAUUCAAAGUUUUCCUCACUUGUUCAAAGCUGAAAGUUCAAAAUAUCUCUUCCAUACAUUUGUUCAUACCUGGAGCCUUGGAGAGUCUCCCUAACACCUGUUCAUAAUAAUUGUUCUUAGUUCAUUUAGUUUUUCUCAACUGAAACUACAAUAUUUCGUCACCUUACAAAUGACAUCAAGCAGUCUUUCUCUAUAGUCUAUAUCGCAGAUAACUUCCCUAUAGUCAGGUAGAUAUCUUACGUUGUCAUUUUAUCUAGGUAUUCCUAUAAAUUACUAAAUGAAAAAGGAAUAUCCCAUCCACAUUCACACACUGAAAGAAUUAAAUCUGGUUCUAAGAUCUCUAAACUCAAAAGAUACUAAGACAUUUUUGCCAGCAUCACAGACGUAGCCUGAGUGUUUGCUUAUAUUUGUGCCCGAUGGGUCUUGUCUUCAUGUCAGUCACAGGUGCCCGAUGGGUCUUGUCUUCAUGUCAGUCACAGGUGCCCGAUGAGUCUUGUCUUCAUGUCAGUCACAGGUGCCCGAUGGGUCUUGUCUUCAUGUCAGUCACAGGUGCCCGAUGGGUCUUGUCUUCAUGUCAGUCACAGGUGCCCGAUGGGUCUUGUCUUCAUCUUGUCUACGUUGUGAAUUGUAUUUUUGUUUGUCUAUCCAAUAUUUGUAAAUUUUGUUUAUAAUAAGAUAUGUGAAAAAUAUUA